Molecule: ribosomal RNA, 251 nt
Filed under: uncultured Glomus
Lineage: Eukaryota; Fungi; Glomeromycota; Glomeromycetes; Glomerales; Glomeraceae
Description: partial 18S ribosomal RNA
Source: RNAcentral
CCCAACUAUCCCUAUUAAUCAUUACGUCAAUCCUAGAAACCAACAAAAUAGGAUCGAUCGUCCUAUUUCAUUAUUCCAUGCUAAUGUAUUCAAGCGUUAGCUUGCUUUAAACACUCUAAUUUUUUCAAAGUAACAGUCCAGUUUCCCCGCAACACCAAAUUAAUGGCAUUACGGUUCAUCAGGAAGGAGGAAUCAGUAAGACCAGUGCAUACCAGUGGCACGACCAACCUACUAACCCCGAAAUUCAACUA